RNAcentral lists this ribosomal RNA (889 nucleotides) under Fusarium oxysporum f. sp. pisi. RNAcentral's name for it is "LSU rRNA". It matches the Rfam family "Eukaryotic large subunit ribosomal RNA", at positions 38 to 956 of the family's 3401-position model. The record is from RNAcentral. Lineage: Eukaryota; Fungi; Ascomycota; Sordariomycetes; Hypocreales; Nectriaceae.
GCAUAUCAAUAAGCGGAGGAAAAGAAACCAACAGGGAUUGCCCUAGUAACGGCGAGUGAAGCGGCAACAGCUCAAAUUUGAAAUCUGGCUCUCGGGCCCGAGUUGUAAUUUGUAGAGGAUACUUUUGAUGCGGUGCCUUCCGAGUUCCCUGGAACGGGACGCCAUAGAGGGUGAGAGCCCCGUCUGGUUGGAUGCCAAAUCUCUGUAAAGUUCCUUCAACGAGUCGAGUAGUUUGGGAAUGCUGCUCUAAAUGGGAGGUAUAUGUCUUCUAAAGCUAAAUACCGGCCAGAGACCGAUAGCGCACAAGUAGAGUGAUCGAAAGAUGAAAAGCACUUUGAAAAGAGAGUUAAAAAGUACGUGAAAUUGUUGAAAGGGAAGCGUUUAUGACCAGACUUGGGCUUGGUUAAUCAUCUGGGGUUCUCCCCAGUGCACUUUUCCAGUCCAGGCCAGCAUCAGUUUUCCCCGGGGGAUAAAGGCGGCGGGAAUGUGGCUCUCUUCGGGGAGUGUUAUAGCCCGUCGUGUAAUACCCUGGGGGGGACUGAGGUUCGCGCAUCUGCAAGGAUGCUGGCGUAAUGGUCAUCAACGACCCGUCUUGAAACACGGACCAAGGAGUCGUCUUCGUAUGCGAGUGUUCGGGUGUCAAACCCCUACGCGUAAUGAAAGUGAACGCAGGUGAGAGCUUCGGCGCAUCAUCGACCGAUCCUGAUGUUCUCGGAUGGAUUUGAGUAAGAGCAUACGGGGCCGGACCCGAAAGAAGGUGAACUAUGCCUGUAUAGGGUGAAGCCAGAGGAAACUCUGGUGGAGGCUCGCAGCGGUUCUGACGUGCAAAUCGAUCGUCAAAUAUGGGCAUGGGGGGCGAAAGACUAAUCGAACCUUCUAGUAGCUGGUU